RNAcentral lists this ribosomal RNA (466 nucleotides) under uncultured bacterium. RNAcentral's name for it is "partial 16S ribosomal RNA". It matches the Rfam family "Bacterial small subunit ribosomal RNA", at positions 29 to 507 of the family's 1533-position model. The record is from RNAcentral.
ACGAACGCUGGCGGUGUGCUUAACACAUGCAAGUCGAACGGUAAGGCCCUUUCGGGGGUACACGAGUGGCGAACGGGUGAGUAACACGUGAGUAACCUGCCCUCAUCUCUGGGAUAACAGUCGGAAACGGUUGCUAAUACUGGAUAUGAGCUUGCAAGGCAUCUUGUGGGUUGGAAAGAUUUUUUUGGUUGGGGAUGGACUCGCGGCCUAUCAGCUUGUUGGUGAGGUAGUGGCUCACCAAGGCUUCGACGGGUAGCCGGCCUGAGAGGGCGACCGGCCACAUUGGGACUGAGAUACGGCCCAAACUCCUACGGGAGGCAGCAGUGGGGAAUAUUGCACAAUGGACGGAAGUCUGAUGCAGCAACGCCGCGUGCGGGAUGACGGCCUUCGGGUUGUAAACCGCUUUCAAUUGUGACGAAGCUUUUUUGUGACGGUAGCAGUAGAAGAAGCACCGGCUAACUACGUG